CAGGCAACUUCCAGAUAGGUAAACCUAUCUAUCUAAUGACUAUAUAAUCGAAAUGCAAACUUGAAAAUGGAAUAUGAUGUCUACGUUUUCUGGAUGCCAUUUGCCUAACGAGCACAGAGCCUUCCUGGGACUUGGCAGAGCCACGCUUUGCCUCCACCACUGCACCGGCCCCUCUUGUUUUCCGAGAGACUGACUGUCUGCUUCAUGCACUGCUCUCAUCCGUGCAGAGUUAAAACUUCUCAGUGAUUCAAACAUUCUUCCUGUGACAUUAUAUGACCUUCAAGCUUGCUACUUCUUUGGACUGUGUGGCCAACAGCUCACUGUAUAGUCAGCUCUUGA
Molecule: long non-coding RNA, 339 nt
Organism: Phyllostomus hastatus (greater spear-nosed bat)
Lineage: Eukaryota; Metazoa; Chordata; Mammalia; Chiroptera; Phyllostomidae
Exons: 3
Source: RefSeq, a predicted model, not a curated record